AGGACAAACGCUGGCGGCGUGCCUAAGACAUGCAAGUCGGACGAGAGGUUUCGGCCUCGAGUGGCGGACGGGUGAGGAACGCGUGGAGAACCUGCCCCGGGGUGGGGGAUACCCGCCAGAAAUGGCGGUUAAGACCGCAUACGAAUGCACCGUGCAGGCGGUGUAGGGAAAGCAGCGAUGCGCCCUGGGAGGGCUCCGCGUCGGAUUAGCUGGUUGGUGGGGUAACGGCCUACCAAGGCUUCGAUCCGUAGCUGGUCUGAGAGGACGGCCAGCCACACUGGGACUGAGACACGGCCCAGACUCCUACGGGAGGCAGCAGUUAGGGAAUUUUGACAAUGGGCGCAAGCCUGAUCGAGUGACGCCGCGUGCGGGAUGACGCCUUUCGGGGUGUAAACCGCUUUUCCCAGGGACGAGGAGGGACGGUACCUGGGGAAGAAGUCUCGGCUAACUACGUGCCAGCAGCCGC
This 466-nucleotide ribosomal RNA is filed under the name uncultured bacterium. RNAcentral's name for it is "SSU rRNA". It matches the Rfam family "Bacterial small subunit ribosomal RNA", at positions 26 to 518 of the family's 1533-position model. The record is from RNAcentral.